CCUACGGGAGGCAGCAGUGGGGAAUAUUGCACAAUGGGGGAAACCCUGAUGCAGCCAUGCCGCGUGUGUGAAGAAGGCCUUCGGGUUGUAAAGCACUUUCAGUUGUGAGGAAAAGUUAGUAGUUAAUACCUGCUAACCGUGACGUUAACAACAGAAGAAGCAC
Molecule: ribosomal RNA, 163 nt
Filed under: uncultured bacterium
Lineage: Bacteria
Description: partial 16S ribosomal RNA
Rfam family: Bacterial small subunit ribosomal RNA
Source: RNAcentral